GUGUCUUCACCACCCUCGCCCUUGCCCUCGCUGGGAAGGCUCUACCUACCCCUGCCCCCAAGGAAGAAGAGGCAUGCGCUGUCUUUUCCUAGGCCCAGCUAAGACCCAGCCAGGGUAUGCAGGAGCAAUGGCCUAGGGGAGUCUCCAGCAAGGGGGGGGUUGAGGAAGGGGAUCCCCAAAGGUGUGAGAGGAAGAAUAGCUGGAGGAGAGGAGGG
Molecule: long non-coding RNA, 215 nt
Filed under: Homo sapiens (human)
Lineage: Eukaryota; Metazoa; Chordata; Mammalia; Primates; Hominidae
Description: non-protein coding lnc-RBBP8NL-1:1
Source: RNAcentral